Long non-coding RNA from Bombina bombina (fire-bellied toad), 198 nucleotides. RefSeq lists it as uncharacterized. Lineage: Eukaryota; Metazoa; Chordata; Amphibia; Anura; Bombinatoridae. The record is from RefSeq and is a predicted model, not a curated record. The transcript has 3 exons.
CAAGAUAUUGUGAGAGGGCAGAGGGAGGAGUCAGUUCAGCAGGAGGAGGAAGUUAUACAAGAAAAAGGACAAGAAGAAAAUUUUCCGUUGGAUGAUUUAGUUCAGCAGGAGGAAGAAAAGGAGAAGGAAGUUAUACAACAAGAAGAGGAAUAUGAAGAAAACGAGCUAGUGGAGGAGUCGGUUUAGCAUGAGAGGGAG